RNAcentral lists this ribosomal RNA (400 nucleotides) under uncultured bacterium. RNAcentral describes it as "bacterial SSU rRNA". It matches the Rfam family "Bacterial small subunit ribosomal RNA", at positions 355 to 746 of the family's 1533-position model. The record is from RNAcentral.
UGAGGAAUCUUGCGCAAUGGGGGCAACCCUGACGCAGCAACGCCGCGUGAGUGAGGAAGGUCUUCGGAUCGUAAAGCUCUGUCGGAUGGAAAGAACCGCAUAGGGGUAAACAGCCCCUGUGUCUGACGGUACCAUCAAAGGAAGCACCGGCUAACUCCGUGCCAGCAGCCGCGGUAAUACGGGGGGUGCAAGCGUUGUUCGGAAUUAUUGGGCGUAAAGAGCGUGUAGGCGGCCUGAUGUGUCAGAUGUGAAAGCCCUGGGCUUAACUCAGGAAGUGCAUUUGAAACUGUCAGGCUCGAGUAGGGGAGAGGGAAGUGGAAUUCCUGGUGUAGAGGUGAAAUUCGUAGAUAUCAGGAGGAACACCGGUGGCGAAGGCGACUUCCUGGCCCUAUACUGACGC